CUCGCCUUAGCCCGGUUCCGGCGGGAAGCGCUCGUGGGGGGCAGAAGGAGGGGUGGAAGUCGGAGGAAUCAUAGACUUCCUAGGUUGGAAAAGACCUUUGAGGUCGAGACCAACUGUACCUGUCCACUACUAAACCGUAUCCCUGAGCACUCCAUCUGUCCGCCUUUCAAAGACGUCCAGGGAUGGUGAUUCAACACGUCGCUGGGCAGCUGUUCCCGUGUCCGAGAACCCUUUCGGUGAAGACAUUUCUUCCAAUCUGAACCUCCCCUGGUGCAGCUUGAGGCCUUUCCCUCUCCUCCUAUCGCUUGGGAGACAGGAGGACCUGGAAGUUCCCCACAUGGCAUCACCUUCGUGUGGCUGCGGUGUUUGAAGUGGGAAGUCUCAAGGCAGCGGCGAGAUUUAGCCAGAGCGGUGCUACAUAAACUCAUUUCUCAUUCCAAGGAUCGCAGGGGCAGUUGGCAGCAUUUGCGUUCAAACACUAACCAAGGCUUGUUGCUGAGGCUUUCUGAUUCAACUAGAGAUUUUUAGACAAACGCGAUGCUUCAUCCACGUUUGGAUUUCAUGCUGAGUAUUUUGAGAUCACAGCAACAGUCAGGUCUUUUAAAAUUAUGUCUCAGUCUCUAUCAUUCAGGGAUUUCUUUGUGAAAAACGUCGCCCUCUGCAAGGGUAUUUGUAUUAUAGAAGCACCGGGCAGAACUAACCAAAUAUUGAUUUUAUAUCCUGUCACACAAGCAGGUAGUAAUCCCUGCCUUGUGUACUCAGCCUCAGCUUAUAACAGCCAGCAGUGAGUGAAUUAAACAGAAUGAAAUGAGAGAAGGAAAGAGUAAAAAAAAUGGAGCUCUCCAUGUACAGAAACCACCUUGGUUUAUUACCUGCCCAGCCAGCAUUAGUGACCUAAACGGAAGGUUUUUCUACACCCUAACACACACUGGAUGGGAUGGGUACAUGAGCUGAUGAGAAACUGUCGCUGCUGACAAAGCAAAGGGAGGGGUUCCCCUGCACCAUAAGGUAAGGUUCUGUGUAUGAUUACUGGUGCAUAGCUAAGUCAUGAGGUCCUAACCAGAAGUUUGUUUCUCAAGUAAUGGCAGAAGCAAUGUAACCGUUUUGAAGUGAUUAUUUCUUCCAGAAGGCAACAGAUGAUUCAGAAUUUCCCUUGUGCCAGGUAGUUAAUAAUCAAAAUUCUCAGAAAACUUCCUCACUCCUUUCCCAAAGUAAUAUUUUCCAGAGGACUGCUAAGUGAUUUCUCUGCAGUUGCAAAUAUGGAUCCUUCUGAACAAGGCCUGAUCGUAAGCUGGCAAAUUUCCUAAACACAGGAGAGAGAGGACCAUUGAUCUUCCAGUGACAGUGCUGAAGACAUUUGCUAAAAUUAGAGCUAACCAUUUAAAUCUUGCAAAGUGUUCACUUCUUUGGUCACCUAGUAAUCAAAGCCAACACUGAGAAGAAAGGAACACAAAAGGCAAGUAUGUAGCUGUAGAAGGUUAUGCUACCUCCCUGUAUUCAUCCAGUCUUAAAGUCACUAGGAAUAAGGACUACCUUGCUACCAGUAGUUUCUGUUGCCCUCUUUAGCCAAAAAAAUAGCUGUUACUGCCCAUUUUCAUCAGUAAGUCUUUUUUUCUGCACUUCAAACUCCACCAUGUAAUGACAAGACUGUCUUUUACUAUAAUUCACAGUGCCUGUGAGAGAGGGCCAGGUGCACCCCCUAUUACAGAAGCCUGGCUAGACUGGCAUUUGUAAACCAAGGCAGCUUAAUUCCCCUCUGCCCUAUGCUGUACCGAGCUCCCUAGUGUUGCAAACAGACAUUUUAUCCUUUCUUCUGUAAAAUGAUCAUGCUUUCCCAUCGAACAUUUUGGCCCUUGCUGCUGCUACCAGGAGGCUGUCUGAGAGAAACUUCUCUAACAGCUGGAAACCUUUUUAAAAUUUCAAACUCACAUUUCCCUGUGACCAGUCCACAUCUUUCUUUUCUUCCGGUGCAAAUACUGUCCUGAAGUAGCUUUUCCCACUCUCCUGUGUGUAUCCGCUGCCAGAAGUAUUUAUAGACAGCAAUGUCAUCCACACAGAGCCUUUAUUUUGCAGGACCAAACAAGUCAUGCUUUUCUCAUUCUCCUCGUGAUUUCCCCCGUUGGAAGCUGGACUGGUACAAAGCUGGUUAUGGGAAACACAGAACGUUACCUAUAUCCUGGUUCCUCUUCUCAUGACACAGCCUUGCUUCUAGUUUCUGAAUCCUUACGUUGGCCACAUGAAAGCCAUUAAAAGCAUAGAAUCAGCUAAGCAGCUCCAAGUGUAGGCCGGUUUAGAGGCCAAUGUGCCCUACCUUCUCAUUUGAUACAAGAGUUUUAAUGAUUCGUGAUUAAAGGGCACAUUUGUCUCUUUUUGAGGUUGGAUCACGUGGCAGGAUUCCACUUCAAGUUCACAAAGAUGGAGAAGAUUAUUUAUGUGAACACAUGCUGUCAGGCCUGCUGGAGAACAGCUGCCCGGCAUCUCCUCUCCAGGUGUUUCCCAGUGGAGGAGAAGCAGCAGGCAGCCAUUUACAGAACAGAGAUGAAACUUUUAACAGCAGUAAAUGGGCCAAGAGAAAGAGUCAGAACGCUACUGUGACAUUUCCAUUGCUCUUCCAUACUAGCAAGUUUGAAGAGCUACCUGACAAAAACAAGGGAAUUCAGCAUUCGGCGCAUAAAAACCAGUGGGAGACAGCAAAGUAAAAGUGAAAUAAUUCUGCAUUGCUCAGUGUGCCACAGUUCAACAUUGCACAACAACGACUCAGCCUUAUCACUGGCUAUGAUCUUGCUGCUACAACUCAAGAAAAGAUUAUCCUGGGACAAAUACCUGUGAUUAAUGCCAUAUACAGACUGGCUGUUGAAGCGAAAAUACUUUUUAAACCCUUGCCACCAGACCUCAAAGAUUUUGUUGUCGAACACCUACAGUGCUUCUGUCUGGAUAAAGUAUCAGGAAGAAGGUGACUAUGACUUUGGCCUCACAGAAGAUGCAGAUACAAGGGUUGAUGCAAGGGAAUUACCAAGAUGAUGCAUCCAUAGACAAUCAAUAGCUGCUUUUACUGCAGAAUGUGAAUGCCCUCACUGACAAGUAAGACUUCUUAUCUUUUCUUAUCACUACCUUCUGUGUUAUCCUUGCUCCGAUUUUGCACAGACAUUCAGCGAAAUUGAGGCCAUCAAAAGUAUUAAAUUAAUGCACCUAAGCUGAAGUACUUUCAACUGCCAUAUUAAUGUUUCUUUAAAGUGCCUUUGGUUCCCUGUAGCUUCUCAUAGUAUAUUGUGUCUGAUUGGGAUAGCAUAAAUUUUCUUCGUAGCAGCCCACAUGGUGUUGUGUGUUAGAUUUGUGACCAAAACACUGUUGAUAACGCACCAGUGUUUAAGCUGUUGCUGGGCAGUGCAUCAAGGCCUUCUCUGUUUCUCACUCUGCCCCCACAGCGAGUAGGCUGACAUGAGCUGACCAAAGAGAUACCACACACCGUAUAACAUCAGGCUCAGGCAUAAAACUGGAGGGGGGGAAUUUUUGCAAAGUUGCCAUUGCUUGCAGACUGGCUGGGCAUCAGCCUGCUUGUGGGAGGUGGUGAGUGCCUUUCCAUCCUUUGUUUAUUUUCCUUUCUUUUUCUUUCUUUCCUUGCCUUAUUAAACUGUCUUUAUCUUAACCCAUGUAUUUUUCUUACUUUCACCUUUUCCGUUCUCUCCCCCAUCCCACUUUGGGGAGAGUAACUGAGCAGCUGGGUGGGUGUUCAGCUGCCAGCCAGGGUCAACCCACCAUCCAUAGAAAAGUUCUGAGGUGAGAAUGAGAAGAAAGUGGGAUGCUUCUUACUAGGCUAAUCACUUUGUCAUGGCUCUCAUUUUCUACGUAUUAUGCAGAAACUACCAAAUUCCUGUUGUUGGACUUGGUGGAAGAAUUCACAAUUCAUUUUCUCUUUCCCAUCUACUGGUGUCAUCAAGAAGGCAGUACGGAUCUCAAAAGAAUUAACAAAUUGAUAACAGUUCCUGUUGUAUGUACCAAACAAACAAAAUGUGCUGCUACUUCCAGCCUCUAAUGCAGGCAUAGGUAAUCUACAGUUUUUAAACCACUUGAAGCUUGUGUGUGGCUUCUGCAACAGCUGUACCAUAUAAGAGAUAGCAAGCGGUACAAGUGUGGAAGUUCCUUCACGUUCUGUAUGUCCAGCUCUCCGAAAAAGCAAACUGGAACCACUGAAGCCAAAAUUACCGUCACCUUGAACUCAGCGCUGCUCUCCAGCAGAAUGCUUACCAACCCUCUAUAAUGUCACUUUACAGAUUUUGCCCUCUCCUUAGCAUCAUGAGAUCUCACAUGAACUUGAGCUUUCACCUUUCAUCUUCCUCAAUAUGAAACUGUUGUUUGUUUGAUUCUGCACAGACACAGUCUGAUACCAUGACAGCCAAACCAAAAUCUUCCUCAGGCUGAAGUUUUCUUACCAUUCCAUAAACCUGUGCAAAACAGGCUUCUCCACCACCCUCUGACUUCUGAGGCCUUGUGGAAAUGUGGAUUCUACAAGGGCAUGAGAUUUUCAGGACUGUCUGAAAGCACAAAACAUGGAAAGGAGGUUUUUUGUUUGUUAUAUGAUAUUUCAAAGUAAAGAGACUUAAAUUUUAGGGACUGAAAUUCAUACAUUCUUUAAAUCAAAUGAAGCUUCAAUAGUAACUUGAUGGAGCCAUGUUUAUCCCAGAGUCUGUUCCAAACCUUAUUGUUACUAUUGAAAAAACUGUAUUAUAUUUGUUUCAGUUCUUGUGUCUAUAAUGUAGAAACAAUAACAUUUAGAUAUUCUUAAUAGGACUACCUCAAAUCUAAUUGGUAACUUUGGACACUCAGAGUAUUAGCUGUUAUUUUAUUGUUAUUACUUUGUUAUUGCAAAAUGAUAGUUCCUAGAAACAAAACUUUCUUCAUAUAACCUGUUGAGUCCUUCACUUGCAAUGGAUUCUUUGGUAUAAAGUGAAACACGAAGAGCUGUAACCUUAGCAUGCUUGUUAUAGAAGAAAGCAUGCUCAAAAUAGAAAUAAUUAUGAUAUCAGUGGUAACAGAAACAAAAGCAGUAGACUAGCGUCAGAUUACCAAAGUGUUCUCAGUAGUGAAACCCUGAAUGCUGUAUGCAGUGAACUGGAUACUUACGGAAAAUAAAACAAGCUAAUAUAAAGAAAAUCUGUUUAAAUGGUGACCAUUGUGCAAUUACACUAAGAAACCAUUUUGGGUGCCGAGCUCACUUCAGUCUGUUUAAUUUUAAUGUGUUGCUUUUGACUUAAGCCAUUCCCAGGUACAGAUAAAGUUGUGUUGCUAAGAAGUGGCCAAAACAAAGUCCUGGCUUCUUUGGAUCCAUGUCGCAUUCUUGGUCCUUUCCUGACAUCAAUAGCUCAGGCUCCCCGCCCAUCAUCAAUCUUCCCUUCCCCCAGUGUUCACAUCUCCCUUCCUCCUGCUGCCUUCCAGCUCCCAGCUGGUGAGAACCAAGGGGAUGUGGCUGCUUUUGAGCUAGGCCUGUGCUGGUUGCCAGCAAACUAAACAUAUUAAAUAACCUUUGAUCUUGGGCAACAGCCUUUCAGUCACGGUAAUAAUUUGAAGGAAGUGCCCUUUCCUUUACUGAGCUGUUAUGUUUCACAAAACUUAGAGGAAUUCCAUAGCCUAAAGUUUUCAAUUUCUGCAUCAAGUGUAACUGAAAUGAACUUGUGGGUUCAAAAAUCAGAGGUCUGACAAGGUUGGUGGGCAAACAGCAUAUCUUCUAAGCCCUGUUUCCUGAGGCUUAUAGGAAAAUACUGUAAGGGAAAUACUAUACUGAUGAUAUAAUAGGUACAACUCCCAGUAGUUUAUAAAUAAGGUUUGAGGAAGAAGGUCUGGGCAACAUGCACAAUAUUGGUCUUGGGAGUUUCCAUACCUUUUACAGCAUUCUAGGGAGAUCUCCCAAGCCAUUUAAUUGCAACACUCAAAAAAGCUACAGUGGUUUUUAUUAAAACAGAAAUUAGUAGAGACUGGGAUUGCAUUUCAGGAGACAGAACAUGAGUCUUUGUUAAAUGUCGCUGGUCCAGCAAUUUGGCAU
Molecule: long non-coding RNA, 6037 nt
Organism: Cuculus canorus (common cuckoo)
Lineage: Eukaryota; Metazoa; Chordata; Aves; Cuculiformes; Cuculidae
Exons: 3
Source: RefSeq, a predicted model, not a curated record